AUCCAGUUGACGAGUCCGAAACAGGACGAAAUGCGCAUCCUGGAU
RNAcentral lists this non-coding RNA (45 nucleotides) under Trichobilharzia regenti. The record is from RNAcentral. Lineage: Eukaryota; Metazoa; Platyhelminthes; Trematoda; Strigeidida; Schistosomatidae.